AGGAUUAUAGUUAACCAUAACAUUUGAUUUGCAUUCAAAAAGUAUCUUAUUAGAUUAAUCUUG
Molecule: transfer RNA, 63 nt
Filed under: Sahlbergotettix salicicola
Lineage: Eukaryota; Metazoa; Arthropoda; Insecta; Hemiptera; Cicadellidae
Description: tRNA-Ala
Source: RNAcentral